Molecule: ribosomal RNA, 460 nt
Filed under: uncultured bacterium
Lineage: Bacteria
Description: partial 16S ribosomal RNA
Rfam family: Bacterial small subunit ribosomal RNA
Source: RNAcentral
CCUACGGGAGGCAGCAGUGAGGAAUAUUGGUCAAUGGUCGGGAGACUGAACCAGCCAAGCCGCGUGAGGGAUGAAGGUACAGAGUAUCGUAAACCUCUUUUGUCAGGGAACAAAGGCGGGGACGUGUCCCCGGAUGAGUGUACCUGAAGAAAAAGCAUCGGCUAACUCCGUGCCAGCAGCCGCGGUAAUACGGAGGAUGCGAGCGUUAUCCGGAUUUAUUGGGUUUAAAGGGUGCGCAGGCGGUCUGUUAAGUCAAGGGUGAAAUCCCCGCGCUCAACGUGGGAACUGCCUUUGAAACUGGCAAACUGGAGUGUGUGAGAGGAGAGUGGAAUUCCAGGUGUAGGAGUGAAAUCCGUAGAUAUCUGGAGGAACAUCAGUGGCGAAGGCGACUAUCUGGCACAUAACUGACGCUGAGGAGCGAAAGCGUGGGUAGCAAACAGGAUUAGAUACCCCGGUAGUC